RNAcentral lists this long non-coding RNA (1207 nucleotides) under Equus caballus (horse). Its description in RNAcentral is "lncRNA (ENSECAG00000057797.1)". The record is from RNAcentral. Lineage: Eukaryota; Metazoa; Chordata; Mammalia; Perissodactyla; Equidae.
CAGUGGUGAACCAAGAGGGCCAGCGAGCAAAAGGGGCACGGGCAGGGGCUGGCAAAGACCCUUCAUGGUUUACCCCAUCCACCCAGGUGUCGCCUGAAACCUACAAUGGAGAAUGGUCAUGUGGUACCUACGCACUUUCCACAAAGAGCUCUGAGAUGGUGAUGCCGUGUCCCAUAGAGUCACUGAGCUGCUCCCCGCCAGGCACAGCUCUGGGCUCAGGAGCCGCCAGAGUGGAGAAACCAUCCCACCUGCCUGGACCUUACCCUUUAGUCAGGGAGACAAGCAAUUAACAAGGUCCCUGGGGCUGCUAUGUGGAGAGCGGACUGGAGGGGGCCAGGUGGCAGCAGGGAGGCUGAGGGGGGCGUCUGCAGUGAUGACCCAGGUGGGACUGUGGCACCUGGAAGGAAGGUGACAGCAGUGGAGACAGUGACAGGUUCUGGAUUCAGGGGAUGAGACAAAUACUGCAGGCGUGCCCCCCAGCCCCCACUGUCCACGGCAGACAUCACUAAACGAUCGGGCGCUCUUCCCAACGAACCUGGAUACGGCUCAGGAUCACAGCUCUCUAGGACUAAGAGUGAUUGCAAAGAGGAGAGGAAGGGGGCCUGGCACUGAGGAAGCGCUCACGCUCAUGGAGGCUCAUCCUACUCCCAGCCCUGAGAGACCCUCCUUGACCGCCUGGCCCUGUCCCCCACCUUCAGAGGAGACAACUGUCUUCCAGAAGAAGGCGUCCGCCCAAAGCCGCAGGGAAAGACCAGCGGUGCCACCCGGGACCGGAAGAGCCCCCUCGCUCCCCCUCCCCACAGCUGAGCCUCUCCAGCAACAAAAUGGCUGCAGCAGUGCUGGGCAUCACAUCUGAGUAACCCAUUGCACAGAGGAGCCUUCUCUUCUCCCUAUAUGGACUGGAUGUCCUGGCCUCAUUUAGCCAAGUGCUCAUCCCUGAAUCAAUCACUGGACAAGAGGAAUGGGCUUCAGCCAAUGAGAGCCCACCCCGGGGAUGGAAUCAGAAUGUCUUCCCCAAAACCUGUGGCAAUGUCCUCUCCCUAGUAACACUCGUCCCACCUACCCCCACCCGAUUUUUCCCUGCUAAGAAAACUUUGAUGUGUCCCUAUGGCACUGGUGAUCCACUGAUCUUCGGGAGGGUAGGGCCCUACCUGAGCCCUUGGGGUGACUCUUGAUUGGUGGAAAGGCCAUGUGACCUUAUUCCUCG